GGAAUAUUGGACAAUGGGCGCAAGCCUGAUCCAGCCAUGCCGCGUGUGUGAAGAAGGCCUUCGGGUUGUAAAGCACUUUUGUACGGGAAGAAAAGCACUCGGUUAAUACCCGGGUGUCAUGACGGUACCGUAAGAAUAAGCACCGGCUAACUUCGUGCCAGCAGCCGCGGUAAUCCGGAGGGGGCUAGCGUUGUUCGGAAUUACUGGGCGUAAAGGGCGCGUAGGCGGUAUGUCAAGUCAGGGGUGAAAGGCCUGGGCUCAACCCAGGAAUUGCCUUUGAAACUGGCAAACUAGAGUCCGAAAGAGGAUGGCGGAAUUCCCAGUGUAGAGGUGAAAUUCGUAGAUAUUGGGAAGAACACCGGUGGCGAAGGCGGCCAUCUGGAUCGGCACUGACGCUGAGGCGCGAAAGCGUGGGGAGCAAAC
Molecule: ribosomal RNA, 423 nt
Filed under: uncultured bacterium
Lineage: Bacteria
Description: bacterial SSU rRNA
Rfam family: Bacterial small subunit ribosomal RNA
Source: RNAcentral